AGUUAAAAAAAUUGACUUAAUAACUUAACAACUUAAUGACUAAAAAUUUUCAUUAAGUUGAAAAUCAAACAAAUUUAAUGACUUAACUGAUUGAAAUUAAAUCAAAUAUGUCAUUAAAUUUAAAACAAAAAAACAAAAAAUAAAAAAAACAAACGCACCCUAAGACAAAUCUACCUUCAACACGCAUAAAAAUGACUAAGAAAAAAAGCCGCACAAAGGAGGAGCGUGGGUUGGGUAGGCAUAGCCAGCCACAAGCAGUGAAGGCAUUAGAUGAGAGAAUGACGAGCAUAGUGCAAUACAACCCCCUCCCAUUUUACGUUUAAAUUUUAAGUUCUCAAUUCUAGCUCCAAAGUUUUCGUUUUUAAGUAACUAACUUAUGAUAUAUUGUGCAUAAUGUAUCGUAAUUAGGUGAUUAACAAUAAAAAAUUUGAAAGACCUAGAAAAAAUUUAGAUUUAGACCAAUUUUGAUAUCUUAUUAAUUUGUCAUUAAAAGUAAUUAUAUCCUCAACUCCUCAAGAAUAUUGAAAAUAUAAUUAACCAUUACAAGCUUCUAAUAAUAUUUCAU
Molecule: long non-coding RNA, 565 nt
Filed under: Citrus x clementina
Lineage: Eukaryota; Viridiplantae; Streptophyta; Magnoliopsida; Sapindales; Rutaceae
Description: Citrus clementina (C. clementina) long non-coding RNA (CCLE_LNC001494)
Source: RNAcentral